UACAGAGGGUGCAAGCGGUAAUCGGAAUUACUGGGCGUAAAGCGUGCGCAGACGGUUGUGCAAGACAGAUGUGAAAUCCCCGGGCUCAACCUGGGAAUUGCAUUUGUGACUGCACGGCUAGAGUGUGUCAGAGGGGGGUAGAAUUCCACGUGUAGCAGUGAAAUGCGUAGAGAUGUGGAGGAAUACCGAUGGCGAAGGCAGCCCCCUGGGAUAACACUGACGCUCAUGCACGAAAGCGUGGGGAGCAAACAGG
Molecule: ribosomal RNA, 253 nt
Filed under: uncultured bacterium
Lineage: Bacteria
Description: partial 16S ribosomal RNA
Rfam family: Bacterial small subunit ribosomal RNA
Source: RNAcentral